AUGGCGGCUCAAGCUUCCAUCGCGGUGGGAUCCCAGGUUUGGGUCGAGGAUCCCGACGAGGCCUGGAUUGACGGGGAGGUCCUAAAGGUCAAUGGAGACACGAUUACGGUCAAGUGCUCCAAUGAGAAAACCGUUACAGCAAAAGCAUCUCAUGUCCAUGCUAAGGAUCCCGAGGAAUCACCAUGUGGAGUUGAUGACAUGACAAAACUUGCCUAUCUGCAUGAACCUGGGGUUCUUCAAAAUUUGAAGUCUAGAUAUGACAUGAACGAAAUCUAUACGUAUACUGGAAGUAUUCUGAUUGCUGUAAAUCCUUUCCGAAGACUGCCUCAUUUGUACGAUAUUCAGAUGAUGGAACAGUAUAAAGGAGCAGAUUUUGGUGAAUUAAGCCCCCAUCCUUUUGCUGUUGCAGAUGUUGCAUAUAGAUUGAUGCUAAAUGAAGGAAUAAGUCAGUCCAUCCUUGUUAGUGGAGAAAGUGGUGCUGGUAAAACAGAAAGCACUAAAAUGAUCAUGCGUUAUCUUGCGUACAUGGGUGGAAAGGCUGCCACUGAAGGCCGAACUGUGGAGAAGCAAGUUCUUCAGUCAAAUCCUGUUCUUGAAGCAUUCGGAAAUGCAAAGACUGUGCGAAAUAACAAUUCAAGUCGCUUUGGUAAAUUUGUCGAGAUCCAGUUUGAUCAGAAGGGGAGGAUAUCAGGAGCUGCUGUCAGAACUUAUCUUCUCGAGAGAUCUCGUGUCUGUCAAAUAUCGGAAUCAGAGAGAAAUUACCAUUGUUUCUACAUGAUUUGCGCUGGCUCACCUGAGGAACGGGAGAAAUACAAACUAGGGGAUCCCAGUACAUUUCACUAUCUUAAUCAGUCCAACUGCUAUAAGAUUGAUGGCCUCGAUGAAUCGAAGGAGUAUCUUGAAACUAGAAAGGCCAUGGAUAUUAUCGGGAUCAGUUCUGAAGAGCAGGAAGCAAUUUUCCGGAUUGUUGCUGCUAUUCUCCACUUGGGAAAUGUUGAGUUUGCAGAAGGGGAUGAUGUGGAUUCAUCGAAACCUAAAAAUGAAAAAUCUAUGUUUCAUUUAAGGACAGCUGCCGAGCUCUUCAUGUGCGAUGAGAAAGCACUAGAAGAUUCACUGUGUAAACGUAUUAUUGUGACUCGUGAUGAGAACAUAGUAAAAACUUUGGACGCUGAGGCUGCCAAGGGUAGUAGAGAUGCGCUUGCUAAGACCGUGUACUCACGAUUGUUUGAUUGGCUUGUGACUAAGAUAAACAACUCUAUUGGUCAAGAUCCAACUUCAAAAUGCUUAAUUGGUGUGCUGGAUAUCUAUGGGUUUGAAAGCUUCAAGACAAACAGCUUUGAGCAGUUCUGUAUCAACCUGACAAAUGAAAAACUGCAACAACACUUCAAUCAGCAUGUCUUUAAGAUGGAGCAGGAAGAGUACACUAAAGAAGAAAUUGACUGGAGUUACAUUGAGUUUGUUGACAAUCAGGAUAUUCUUGAUCUCAUCGAUAAGAAACCUGGUGGAAUUAUCGCCCUUCUGGAUGAAGCUUGUAUGUUGCCAAGAUCGACGCAUGAGACAUUUGCUCAGAAGUUGUACCAAACUUUCAAAAAUCACAAGCGCUUUGUGAAGCCAAAGUUAUCUCGGUCAGACUUUACAAUAUGUCAUUAUGCCGGGGAUGUCACCUAUCAAACCGAGUUAUUUCUGGACAAGAACAAGGAUUAUGUUAUUGCUGAACAUCAGGCUCUCUUGGGUGCUUCAGGAUGUUCGUUUGUUUCAGGCCUUUUCCCUCUUCUUUCUGAUGACUCCUCAAAGUCGUCAAAGUUUUCAUCGAUUGGUUCCAGAUUCAAGCAACAACUGCAAUCUCUCUUGGAAACCUUGAGUUCAACUGAGCCCCACUAUAUCCGUUGUGUAAAGCCUAAUAGUUUAUUGAAGCCAGCAAUUUUUGAGAACCAGAAUGUUCUUCAGCAGCUCAGAUGCGGAGGGGUUAUGGAAGCAAUUAGGAUAAGCUGUGCUGGGUAUCCAACUAGAAGAACAUUCCUUGAGUUCAUUGACCGUUUCGGUAUUCUUGCGCCUGAUGUUUUGACUGGAAGUUCUGAUGAGAUUACUGCUGUAAGAAGGCUCUUAGAGAAGGUGGAUCUGCAAGGUUACCAGGUUGGCAAGACAAAAGUUUUUCUUCGUUCUGGUCAAAUGGCUGAACUUGAUGCUCGUAGAAAUGAAGUGUUAGGGCGUUCAGCUAACAUGAUUCAGAGGAAAGUCCGCUCGUUUUUGGCCAAGAAGAGUUUCAUUGCACUACGAAGAUCAGCUGUACAAAUUCAGACGGUUUGUCGCGGAGAGCUUGCAAGAAGAGUUUACCAGGGUCUCCGCAGAGAAGCUGCUUCUCUCAAAAUCCAGACUAGAUACCGCAUGCAUAAUGCGAGAAAGGCAUACACUGAACUUUCUGCUUCCGCGCUUACCAUUCAAUCAUCGUUACGUGGGAUGGCUGCACGUAAAGAGAUCCACUUCAGACGUCAAACAAGAGCUGCUAUCAUUAUCCAGACUCGCUGCCGUCAAUUCUUGGCGAGGUUGGAUUAUUCAAGAACAAGAAAAGCUGCUAUUACUACACAGUGCUUCUGGAGAGGAAAAGUUGCUAGGAAGGAGCUUCGAAAACUCAAAUUGGCUGCACGGGAAACUGGCGCUUUGCAAGCUGCCAAAAAUAAACUGGAAAAGCAAGUCGAAGAGCUUACGUGGCGCCUACAGUUGGAGAAGCGCAUGCGAGCUGAUCUUGAGGAAUCUAAAUCACAAGAGAAUGCAAAGUUGCAAGCUGCCUUGCAAGAGGUGCAACAACAGUACAAGGAAACAAAAGACACGCUAGUGAAGGAGAGAGAGGCGGCCAAAAAGGUCGCAGAGAUAGAGCCAGUUAUUAAAGAGGUUCCCGUUAUAGAUACAGAGCUGAUGAAUAAGCUUCGAGAUGAAAAUGAUAAACUUAAGACUCUUGUCAGUUCUCUUGAAAAGAAGAUUGAUGAUACUGAGAAGAAAUACGACGAAACAAACAAAAUCAGCGAGGAAAGACUAAAGAAGGCAAUGGAUGCUGAGUCGAAAAUUGAUGAUUUAAACAUGGCAAUGCUAAGGCUUCAAGAAAAAAUAUCCAACAUGGAAACUGAUGAGAAAGUGCAAAGACAAGCGUUGUUGAGCACGCCAGUCAGGAGCAUGUCUGAGCAUUUGUCGAUUCCAAUUGUUCCAAAGAACCUGGAGAAUGGCUAUCAUGAGGCUGAAGAGCCAAAGGAACCCCAAAGUGCACCCCCUGCCCUUAAGGAUUAUGGGAAUGGCGAUCCAAAGCUGAAAAAAUCUUCUGCUGAGAAGCAACAGGAAAAUGUCGAUGCACUUAUUGACUGUGUAGCAAAAAAUCUUGGCUACUGUGAGGGGAAGCCAGUUGCUGCUUUUACCAUAUAUAAAUGUCUCCUUCACUGGAAAUCUUUUGAGGCUGAGAAGACCAGUGUUUUUGACCGUCUUAUUCAGUUGAUAGGAUCUGCAAUAGAGAAUGAGGAGGACAAUGACAACCUUGCCUACUGGCUCUCAAAUACGUCUAGCUUGCUUUUCCUUUUACAAAGAAGUCUCAAAGCUGCUGGUGCACCUGGGACUGUUUCACGAAAGAAACCUCCUCAGCCGACAUCGUUGUUUGGUAGAAUGGCUCAAGGCUUGCGCUCUGCAUCUUUUGCUAACAUGCACGUUGAAGCGACUGAUGUUGUGCGCCAAGUUGAGGCCAAGUAUCCCGCGUUACUUUUCAAGCAGCAGUUGACUGCUUAUGUGGAGAAGAUUUAUGGAAUCAUCCGUGAUAAUAUUAAAAAGGAAUUGUCAUCUUUGAUUUCUUUAUGUAUCCAGGCUCCAAGAACAAUGAAAGCCAGCAUGCUGCGAAUUUCUGGAAGGUCAUCUGGUCAAACUCAGAGCAACCAUUGGCAGAAAAUUAUUGAGAACUUGGAUAUCCUUUUAAAAAUUCUACAAGAUAACCAUGUACCCCCAGUUUUAGCUCAGAAAAUCUUUACCCAGAUAUUCUCAUACAUCAAUGUACAACUAUUCAAUAGUCUGCUCCUUCGUCGUGAGUGCUGCUCCUUCAGCAAUGGAGAGUAUGUCAAAGCUGGCUUAGCUGAGUUGGAAUUGUGGUGUGCAAAGGCAACAUCCGAGUACGCAGCAUCAUCAUGGGAUGAAAUCAGGCAUAUCAGACAGGCUGUUGGCUUUUUGGUUAUAUUCCAGAAGUUCAGGAUAUCUUAUGAUGAGAUAGUCCAUGACCUAUGUCCGAUUUUGAGUGUCCAACAGCUGUACCGAAUUUGUACACAGUACUGGGACGACAAGUACAAUACCCAAAGCGUAUCGUCAGAUGUCCUUAGUAACAUGCGGGUCCUAAUGACGGAGGAUUCGAACAAUGCAGAAAGCAGUUCAUUUCUGUUGGAUGAUAAUUCAAGCAUUCCAUUCUCAGUGGAGGAUAUCACCAACGCGAUACAGGAGAAGGACUUCUCGGACGUGAAACCAGCCGAGGAGCUGCUCGAGAACCCCGCGUUCCAGUUUUUACAGGAUUAG
RNAcentral lists this ribosomal RNA (4533 nucleotides) under Triticum aestivum (bread wheat). Its description in RNAcentral is "partial small subunit ribosomal RNA". The record is from RNAcentral. Lineage: Eukaryota; Viridiplantae; Streptophyta; Magnoliopsida; Poales; Poaceae.